RNAcentral lists this ribosomal RNA (504 nucleotides) under uncultured bacterium. RNAcentral's name for it is "bacterial SSU rRNA". It matches the Rfam family "Bacterial small subunit ribosomal RNA", at positions 30 to 528 of the family's 1533-position model. The record is from RNAcentral.
AUUGAACGCUGGCGGAAUGCUUUACACAUGCAAGUCGAACGGCAGCACGGGGCAACCUGGUGGCGAGUGGCGAACGGGUGAGUAAUACAUCGGAACGUGCCCAAUCGUGGGGGAUAACGUAGCGAAAGUUACGCUAAUACCGCAUACGAUCUACGGAUGAAAGCGGGGGAUCGCAAGACCUCGCGCGAAUGGAGCGGCCGAUGUCAGAUUAGGUAGUUGGUGGGGUAAAGGCUCACCAAGCCAACGAUCUGUAGCUGGUCUGAGAGGACGACCAGCCACACUGGAACUGAGACACGGUCCAGACUCCUACGGGAGGCAGCAGUGGGGAAUUUUGGACAAUGGGCGCAAGCCUGAUCCAGCCAUUCCGCGUGCAGGAUGAAGGCCUUCGGGUUGUAAACUGCUUUUGUACGGUAACGAAACGGUCUGCCUAAUACGGCGGGCUAAUGACGGUACCGUAAGAAGUAAGCACCGGCUAACUACGUGCCAGCAGCCGCGGUAAACCGU